GAUGAAGAACGUAGCGAAAUGCGAUAAGUAAUGUGAAUUGCAGAAUCCAGUGAAUCAUCGAAUCUUUGAACGCACAUUGCGCCCGCCAGCAUUCUGGCGGGCAUGCCUGUUCGAGCGUCAUUUCAACCCUCGACCUCCCUUUGGGGAAGUCGGCGUUGGGGACCGGCAGCACACCGCCGGCCCUGAAAUGGAGUGGCGGCCCGUCCGCGGCGACCUCUGCGUAGUAAACCAACUCGCACCGGAACCCCGACGUGGCCACGGCGUAAAACACCCAACUUCUGAACGUUGACCUCGAAUCAGGUAGGACUACCCGCUGAACUUAAGCAUAUCAAUAAGCGGAGGA
Molecule: unclassified non-coding RNA, 343 nt
Filed under: soil metagenome
Description: partial contains 5.8S ribosomal RNA, internal transcribed spacer 2, and large subunit ribosomal RNA
Rfam family: 5.8S ribosomal RNA (bases 1-120)
Source: RNAcentral